Anneissia japonica is the source of this 156-nucleotide long non-coding RNA. RefSeq lists it as uncharacterized. Lineage: Eukaryota; Metazoa; Echinodermata; Crinoidea; Comatulida; Comatulidae. The transcript is spliced from 3 exons. The record is from RefSeq and is a predicted model, not a curated record.
UACAUGGGAGACUUACGCCAGAAUCAAGAUCCUUGCAUUUCAACUCCAUGUCUCAAUGGAGGAAUCUGUGAGACUAUUCCAUCAGGAUUUACUUGUAAAUGUGCAAUGGAUUUCAUUGGAGAGAUUUGUCAACUACAAGAUCCAUGUAGGUCCUUU